GGACGGGUGAGUAAUGCUUAGGAAUCUGCCUAUUAGUGGGGGACAACGUUCCGAAAGGAGCGCUAAUACCGCAUACGUCCUACGGGAGAAAGCAGGGGACCUUCGGGCCUUGCGCUAAUAGAUGAGCCUAAGUCGGAUUAGCUAGUUGGUAGGGUAAAGGCCUACCAAGGCGACGAUCUGUAGCGGGUCUGAGAGGAUGAUCCGCCACACUGGGACUGAGACACGGCCCAGACUCCUACGGGAGGCAGCAGUGGGGAAUAUUGGACAAUGGGGGGAACCCUGAUCCAGCCAUGCCGCGUGUGUGAAGAAGGCCUUUUGGUUGUAAAGCACUUUAAGCGAGGAGGAGGCUACCUAGAUUAAUACUUUAGGAUAGUGGACGUUACUCGCAGAAUAAGCACCGGCUAACUCUGUGCCAGCAGCCGCGGUAAUACAGAGGGUGCGAGCGUUAAUCGGAUUUACUGGGCGUAAAGCGUGCGUAGGCGGCCAAUUAAGUCAAAUGUGAAAUCCCCGAGCUUAACUUGGGAAUUGCAUUCGAUACUGGUUGGCUAGAGUAUGGGAGAGGAUGGUAGAAUUCCAGGUGUAGCGGUGAAAUGCGUAGAGAUCUGGAGGAAUACCGAUGGCGAAGGCAGCCAUCUGGCCUAAUACUGACGCUGAGGUACGAAAGCAUGGGGAGCAAACAGGAUUAGAUACCCUGGUAGUCCAUGCCGUAAACGAUGUCUACUAGCCGUUGG
RNAcentral lists this ribosomal RNA (731 nucleotides) under Acinetobacter sp. GA38. RNAcentral's name for it is "bacterial SSU rRNA". It matches the Rfam family "Bacterial small subunit ribosomal RNA", at positions 100 to 826 of the family's 1533-position model. Lineage: Bacteria; Pseudomonadati; Pseudomonadota; Gammaproteobacteria; Moraxellales; Moraxellaceae. The record is from RNAcentral.